RNAcentral lists this transfer RNA (267 nucleotides) under Homo sapiens (human). Its description in RNAcentral is "LHRI_LNC531.1". The stretch from base 13 to 84 matches the Rfam family "tRNA". Lineage: Eukaryota; Metazoa; Chordata; Mammalia; Primates; Hominidae. The record is from RNAcentral.
GGUUAGUGGCUCGCCGUGAUCGUAUAGUGGUUAGUACUCUGCGUUGUGGCCGCAGCAACCUCGGUUCGAAUCCGAGUCACGGCAGGUGGUUCUAACUUGCUGGGGUGGCGGUUUUUUUUUUUUUUAAUUAACACUUUUAAAAGAGUGACACAUGCUUGUAAUUCUGCCUUCGCUUAAGGCAUCCCCGCGGAAGUGCAGUCCACAGAUUCGGUGAAUAACAAUAGCUCCAGGCCGACGUGGUGGCUCGCGCCAUUACGUAAUCCCAGC